GUCUAGCCCAGAUAGUAAUGGAAAGCUUUGUGAAGGAAAAUUAUAUUUUUUCUUGUUGUAAAAAAGCGACCAAAGGAAGCUCUUUUUACAGCUUAGAAAAAAAUAAUUUUACAAACAAACUUGCAAUGGAUAGCUGGAAAUAGC
This 144-nucleotide small RNA is filed under the name Flavobacterium aquatile LMG 4008 = ATCC 11947. RNAcentral describes it as "Flavobacterium aquatile LMG 4008 Flavo-1 RNA". It matches the Rfam family "Flavo-1 RNA". The record is from Rfam by way of RNAcentral. Lineage: Bacteria; Pseudomonadati; Bacteroidota; Flavobacteriia; Flavobacteriales; Flavobacteriaceae.